AGAGGGGUCCGCGCCUGAUUAGCUAGUUGGUGAGGUAACGGCUCACCAAGGCUUCGAUCAGUAGCCGUCCUGAGAGGGAGCACGGCCACACUGGAACUGAGACACGGUCCAGACUCCUACGGGAGGCAGCAGUGGGGAAUUUUUGGCAAUGGGCGAAAGCCUGACCAAGCAACGCCGCGUGGGUGAUGAAGUAUCUUGGUACGUAAAACCCUUUCGGCAGGGACGAAAAAAAUGACGGUACCUGCGGAAGAAGCCCCGGCUAACUCCGUGCCAGCAGCCGCGGUAAUACGGGGGGGGCAAGCGUUGUUCGGAAUUACUGGGCGUAAAGGGCGCGUAGGCGGUUGGAUAAGUCAGCUGUGAAAACCACGGGCUUAACUCGUGGCCUGCAGUUGAGACUGUCUGGCUUGAGUGUGGGAGAGGAGAGUGGAAUUCCUGGUGUAGCGGUGAAAUGCGUAGAUAUCAGGAGGAACACCGGAGGCAAAUGCGGCUCUCUGGACCACAACUGACGCUGAGGCGCGAAAGCUAGGGGAGCAAACAGGAUUAGAUACCUGGUAGUCCUAGCUGUAAACGAUGGUUACUUGCUGUGGGGGGUGUUAAAUCCCCCUGUGGCGGAGCUAACGCAUUAAGUAUCCCGCCUGGGGAGUACGGUCGCAAGGCUGAAACUCAAAGGAAUGACGGAGGCCCGCACAAGCGGUGGAGCAUGUGGUUCAAUUCGACGCAACGCGAAGAACCUUACCUGGGCUUGAAUUGGAGUGGAAGUUGGCAGAGAUGUCAAUGUCCUUUACCGGACUGCUCUAGAGGUGCUGCAUGGCUGUCGUCAGCUCGUGUCGUGAGAUGUUGGGUUAAGUCCCGCAACGAGCGCAACCCUUGUCCUUAGUUGCUAACGAGUCAAGUCGAGAACCCUAAGGAAACUGUCGGUGAUAAACCGGAGGAAGGUGGGGGUGACGUCAAGUCCUCAUGGCCUUUAUGUCCAGGGCUACACACGUGCUACAAUGGGCGGUACAAAGGGCAGCAAACCCGCGAGGGGGAGCCAAUCCCAUAAAACCGUUCUCAGUUCGGAUUGCAGUCUGCAACUCGACU
This 1080-nucleotide ribosomal RNA is filed under the name uncultured Acidobacteriota bacterium. RNAcentral's name for it is "bacterial SSU rRNA". It matches the Rfam family "Bacterial small subunit ribosomal RNA", at positions 223 to 1317 of the family's 1533-position model. The record is from RNAcentral. Lineage: Bacteria; Pseudomonadati; Acidobacteriota.